This 238-nucleotide ribosomal RNA is filed under the name uncultured bacterium. Its description in RNAcentral is "partial 16S ribosomal RNA". It matches the Rfam family "Bacterial small subunit ribosomal RNA", at positions 100 to 334 of the family's 1533-position model. The record is from RNAcentral.
CGGAACGGGUGAGUAACGCGUGAGGAACCUGCCUCAAAGAGGGGGACAACAGUUGGAAACGACUGCUAAUACCGCAUAAGCCCACGGGUCGGCAUCGACCAGAGGGAAAAGGAGCAAUCCGCUUUGAGAUGGCCUCGCGUCCGAUUAGCUAGUUGGUGAGGUAAUGGCCCACUAAGGCAACGAUCGGUAGCCGGACUGAGAGGUUGAACGGCCACAUUGGGACUGAGACACGGCCCAG